UCUUGUGAUCCAACAAAUGGAAAGACAAUCACAUUCUGAAGGUUUGGAAGACCUGGUUAAAAUAAAUCCUCAGAAAUGAAUCUUUAUGCAUUGGUCUGCAUUGACUGAAAAUAUCACCCGAGGAUUAAUUUGAACAAAACGAUCCAAGACACCCUGUGAAGGUUGAAAGACAUGCGUAUGGUUGUUUUCAAUCUGCAGAUGAUGCAAUUAUACCACAAAAAUGCCAAAAAGUUUCCCAGAAAUCCUGAUAACAAUUGAUUGACCAUUGAUACAAGUCAUCAUAAGAUUCUAAAAAAAUUGGGCAAGACAGGGUCAGCACUACCAAAAUUUGUGGCUUCCUUUCGAGCUGGUUUCCACAUGAUUUCAGAAAUUUCAUUGCAGCGAUCCAUCCCUGUAGUUUACCCAGCAAUUGUCAGAGAAAUUAUG
This is a long non-coding RNA of Dendronephthya gigantea, 426 nucleotides long. RefSeq lists it as uncharacterized. Lineage: Eukaryota; Metazoa; Cnidaria; Anthozoa; Malacalcyonacea; Nephtheidae. The transcript has 4 exons. The record is from RefSeq and is a predicted model, not a curated record.